GACGAACGCUGGCGGCGUGCUUAACACAUGCAAGUCGAACGAGACGAUUGAAAGCUUGCUUUCGAAAGUCGAGUGGCAAACGGGUGAGUAACGCGUAAACAACCUGCCUUUGAGAUGGGGACAACAGUUCGAAAGGACUGCUAAUACCGAAUGUUGUAUAUUUUCCACAUGGAAGAUAUAUUAAAGAUGGCCUCUAUUUAUAAGCUAUCGCUCAAAGAUGGGUCUGCGUCUGAUUAGCUAGUUGGUGGGGUAACGGCCUACCAAGGCGACGAUCAGUAGCCGGUCUGAGAGGAUGAACGGCCACAUUGGGACUGAGACACGGCCCAGACUCCUACGGGAGGCAGCAGUGGGGAAUCUUCCACAAUGGGCGAAAGUCUGAUGGAGCAACGCCGCGUGAGUGAAGAAGGGUUUCGGCUCGUAAAGCUCUGUUGUCGGGGACGAAUGUGCAGUAUUUGAAUAAAGUACUGUAAUGACGGUACCUGACGAGGAAGCCACGGCUAACUACGUGCCAGCCGCCGCAGUAA
RNAcentral lists this ribosomal RNA (524 nucleotides) under uncultured bacterium. RNAcentral describes it as "partial 16S ribosomal RNA". It matches the Rfam family "Bacterial small subunit ribosomal RNA", at positions 28 to 523 of the family's 1533-position model. The record is from RNAcentral.